RNAcentral lists this ribosomal RNA (226 nucleotides) under uncultured bacterium. RNAcentral describes it as "partial 16S ribosomal RNA". It matches the Rfam family "Bacterial small subunit ribosomal RNA", at positions 129 to 334 of the family's 1533-position model. The record is from RNAcentral.
CCUUUGGGUGGGGAAUAACUCAGGGAAACUUGAGCUAAUACCGCAUAAUGCAGCGGCUCGACAUCGAGACAGUUGUUAAAGCGGGGGAUUGGAGUAAUCCGACCUCGCGCCUGAAGAGAAGCCUGCGGCAGAUUAGCUAGUUGGUAAGGUAAUGGCUUACCAAGGCGACGAUCUGUAACCGGCCUGAGAGGGCGGUCGGACACACUGACACUGAAUAACGGGUCAG